GACGAACGCUGGCGGCGUGCCUAAUACAUGCAAGUCGAACGAACCGCGACUAGGUGCUUGCACUUGGUCAAGGUGAGUGGCGAACGGGUGAGUAACACGUGGGUAACCUACCUCAUAGUGGGGGAUAACAGUCGGAAACGACUGCUAAUACCGCAUAGGACAUAGGAUCACAUGAUCCAGUGAGGAAAGGUGGCGCAAGCUAUCGCUAAGAGAUGGACCCGCGGUGCAUUAGCUAGUUGGUAGGGUAAAGGCCUACCAAGGCGAUGAUGCAUAGCCGACCUGAGAGGGUGAUCGGCCACAUUGGGACUGAGACACGGCCCAAACCCCUACGGGAGGCAGCAGUGGGGAAUCUUCCGCAAUGGACGCAAGUCUGACGGAGCAACGCCGCGUGAGUGAAGAAGGUCUUCGGAUCGUAAAGCUCUGUUGUUAGAGAAGAACAGCGCAUAGAGUAACUGUUAUGCGUGUGACGGUAUCUAACCAGAAAGCCACGGCUAACUACGUG
Molecule: ribosomal RNA, 502 nt
Filed under: uncultured bacterium
Lineage: Bacteria
Description: partial 16S ribosomal RNA
Rfam family: Bacterial small subunit ribosomal RNA
Source: RNAcentral